RNAcentral lists this long non-coding RNA (1732 nucleotides) under Homo sapiens (human). RNAcentral's name for it is "MIR122 host gene". The stretch from base 882 to 954 matches the Rfam family "mir-122 microRNA precursor family". Lineage: Eukaryota; Metazoa; Chordata; Mammalia; Primates; Hominidae. The record is from RNAcentral.
AGAAAUGACCAGUUCAAGAGGAGAAUGAGAUUGGCUUCCAAAUGUUGGUCAAGAGCUCUACGUAGCAUGAGCCAAGGAUCUAUUGAACUUAGUAGGCUCCUGUGACCGGUGACUCUUCUGUCUCUAGAAAUCUGGGGAGGUGACCAGGUCAUACAUGGCAGUCUUCCCGUGAGGAACGUUAAACUGGUUGGAAGUUGGGGUUCUGAGGGGAAGAUGUAUUCACUAGGUGACCUGUCUUCUCUGCCUCGGUGGCCUCCAUGGCUGCCUGCUGGCCGCACACCCCCACUCAGCAGAGGAAUGGACUUUCCAAUCUUGCUGAGUGUGUUUGACCAAAGGUGGUGCUGACUUAGUGGCCUAAGGUCGUGCCCUCCCUCCCCCACUGAAUCGAUAAAUAAUGCGACUUAUCAGAAAGAGAAAGAAUUGUUUACUUUUAAACCCUGGAUCCCAUAAAGGGAGAGGGGAGAGGCCUAAAGCCACAGAAGCUGUGGAAGGCGCCAUCCUGCCUGCCACAGGAAGGGCCUUGGACUGAGAGGACCGGAGCUGACUGGGGAUUAUUCAAAGCCAAAAGCCAACAGAGCCCCCAUGGAGAAGUGGAGGAUGCUCAGAUACUGCUAUGGAGCCCUGAGAAGUGAAAUGGGUCCAAGCCCUUGCCCAGGAUAGAGCGCUCCAAGCGCAUCCUCCGGGGACCCUUUUAAUCAGUGAAUUGUUCACCUCUCACUGUUUCUUCCCAGCAGAGCUAAGAGACUUCUAGAGCCUCUUGUGGAUGGUCAGCGAUAGCCCUGGUCACAAUAUGUGGAGCUGACAAGGUUCCCCUAUUAUCAGUGACAAUGGUGGAAUGUGGAGGUGAAGUUAACACCUUCGUGGCUACAGAGUUUCCUUAGCAGAGCUGUGGAGUGUGACAAUGGUGUUUGUGUCUAAACUAUCAAACGCCAUUAUCACACUAAAUAGCUACUGCUAGGCAAUCCUUCCCUCGAUAAAUGUCUUGGCAUCGUUUGCUUUGAGCAAGAAGGUUCAUCUGAUAUCAGUCUUCUCAAUCUUGUGUACUUACUGAAUAAAGUCUGGCUCUUUUGCACUCAUAACCAAUAUGGUUAGCUGAACCCUGCCUCUCACAUGCUGUUGUUACAUACCUUAGCUGGUGAUUAAUUUUCUUGUUUUCCCAAGUCAAUAAAAAGAUUGCAGACCAGGCACGGUGGCUCACGCCUGAAAUCCCAGCACUUUGGGAGGCCAAGGCAGGCGGAUCACUUGAGCUCAGGAGUUCAAGUCCAGCCUGGGCAGCAUGGUGAAACCGUGUCUCUACAAAAACUACAAAAAUUAGCCAGGCAUGGUGGCAUGUGCCUGUAAUCUCAGCUACUUGAGAGGCUGAGGUGGGAGGAUCAAUUGAGCCCACGAGGUUGAGGCUGUAGUGAGCUGUGAUGGUACCACUGCACUCCAGCCUGUGUGACAGAGCAAGAUCCUGUCUCAAAAAAUGAAAAUAAAAAGAUUGCAGAGUUCCUCAGAGCCCCCAACACAAGGCCAGGCACGAGGUAAUCAUUUAACCCAUGCUUAUAGACUUAAAAUGAAUAGUUAGGAAAGUGUUAGACGCAGAAGGCUAAGACUGGGCUAAAUCUAUGUUAUGCAGACAGACCGCAAGCUUAUAGGUACAAAAUUAAGGUGUGUGGGUCCUUCUCUUUUCGUCGUUAAAAAAUCCAACUUUCUAAUAAACUUACACAUGGUUUCACUGACGUUUCAGAAA